AGUAAGGUGCCUGAAUAAAGGCCCACUUUGAUAGAGUGGUUAAUGUAGUAUUAUCUACCCUUAUUA
RNAcentral lists this transfer RNA (66 nucleotides) under Poecilasma litum. Its description in RNAcentral is "tRNA-Ile". Lineage: Eukaryota; Metazoa; Arthropoda; Thecostraca; Poecilasmatidae. The record is from RNAcentral.